CCUGCCCCUGGAGGCAUUACAGGUGUGGCUGCUGUGUCACAUGCCUGUCAGUAGGUGGCAGGGAAGAGAGAGGCUAUGUCUAAACUGAGUAUUCUGGUCUAUGAACAUCUGACUUAGUAACCUAACAUU
Apodemus sylvaticus (European woodmouse) is the source of this 129-nucleotide small nucleolar RNA. RefSeq annotates it as small nucleolar RNA SNORA17. Lineage: Eukaryota; Metazoa; Chordata; Mammalia; Rodentia; Muridae. The record is from RefSeq and is a predicted model, not a curated record. The transcript has a single exon.